Molecule: long non-coding RNA, 1904 nt
Organism: Nymphaea colorata (pocket water lily)
Lineage: Eukaryota; Viridiplantae; Streptophyta; Magnoliopsida; Nymphaeales; Nymphaeaceae
Exons: 3
Source: RefSeq, a predicted model, not a curated record
AGAAGCUGUCCCAAAGGCCCUUAACUUAAUUAGCAGCAUGUGAAACAGCAGUUUUCCAGAAAUUAUCAGCAGUGGUCUCUUGUAAUCAUUGAUACAAAGAGUUGAGAUGGUUUCAAAGAGUAAGCUUGUAACCGCAUAAUGAAAUGAUUCUCCUUUUUCAUGAUGAAAUUUACUUUAUCCAGUUCCCUCUUUAUCCCUGGUUUAUCUGGAUAACCGGUUGCAGGAGAAGAUUUACUUUAUAUAGGUCUGGUUGGGUUGCCUUUUAUAACUCAAUAGGAGAGGAAGGGAACGGACGGCGCCUUCUCCGGCUGACGGACGGCGGAAUCCUGCGGAAUUAAUUUCCCACCUGCUGCACCGGGAAAAAGUCAGCAGUUUCUUCUGUAAGGGCUAGGGGACUAUGGAACCUCUUUCUCUGGAGACAACACCAAAACCCAGUGAUGUUGAAAUCUUUUUUUGUUCUCCCAUUCGAUAGAAGGAUUCGAAACAGAAUUCGAUCUUCAAGAUUCUUAGUUCUAGGUUUCGAUCUGCAUGUAGUUAGAUUGAGAGAGGAAAAACAUGUGUGGGAUUUUCGCGUACAUCAACUACAAUGUACCAAGGGGCAGAAGGUACAUUCUUGAGACCCUUUUCAAUGGACUCCGACGACAACAUAGGGUUGUUAUUCGUCCAGCAUAUCCAUCGAUGGCCAUCCCGUCGACCCCAACUCUGAGAGCGGCUCCAUAUUCCCUGCAAAUUAUCAGGUUCCUCUAGUUUUCCGGCAAGAAGGUACCCCCAAUCGUCUGGUGGAAGCCGUAUACAGAGGAAGGAUCUUGAUAGACUGUCUUCUCCACACCUUUCUCUGUUGAAUUGAGGGUCUUCUGCUACCGCUGACGGAAUUUGAUCAUCUUGUUCUGUCAAUUUCGUUCGCACAGAGAUGGACUCUACAGGUUUGGACUUGCAGCAGGUACUACCCGGGCACGUCGAAAUUGCUCACAUACGUUGGGCAACUCACCGUUCGAUAUUGGCGAUAAAUAGCCAUCCACAGUCAUCUGGCGAAGGGCAUGAAUUCCUGGUCAUUCACAAUGGAGUCCACAAUGGAGUCCCCACCAAUUAUCAGGACCUGAAGGAGGCCUACUUCGACGUGGGUUCAAGUUGGAAUCCGACACAGAUACGGAAGUCAUUCCAAAGUUAGCUAAGUUGGCUCGUGAUACGCUGUUGGAGCAUAAGGAUGGAGAUGGCCCAGGUGUUGCGUUUCCCUUAAAAAUACUCUGCUGAGAAUCCAUACUACAUUCGUACUGCUUUUGAAAAGUUGCUGUUCAGCAUAAUACUUCUUAAUUGUUUAAUUUGCUUGGAAUGUUUAAUUGUUUAUUGCGUCAGCUUGCUGGCCAGUCACAUUGAAUUUAUGGACGAACAGUCGAAGGUUUGUUGUUUUCUUUGUAAUAUUUUUCUUUGCAUCUGCUAUCAUUGCUUUCUUCAGCCCAACGAUAGCUUUAUUCAAUUCGACAGUAUUAAGACCUGCUUAUACCCCUCUCUAAAUAAUCUCAUUUCUGCCUGAUUAAACUUGACUAAGCCAACAUUGAUCAAUGCAAAACCCCUUGCUUUUAACAUGAAAGAUCUGUUCUUCCUUUAGAGAAGCUAUUCCCGAUGGAGAACUGAACGGCCUUUAGCAGAAAAGAGGACAUCCCGCCCCCAAGUUGGGUAGCCUUCAAAAAUGUCUCUCAAGAAGAAUGGCGUUGUACAUGAGAUGGUGCUUGUGAAGCUGGCAAAGUAGCUGAUCUCCUGAGCUUCAGAUGUUCAACCUUGGCUUCGUCAGAUAUCAAACUUAAGUAGGGCCAGGCACCUAUAUUUCUUGUUCACCUUGAUAUAUCCUUACGAGAUCAGAAGAUAAUCAUACAACAUUCAAACUGAAGUGCCUCGACAGAUUUGGC